This 253-nucleotide ribosomal RNA is filed under the name uncultured bacterium. Its description in RNAcentral is "partial 16S ribosomal RNA". It matches the Rfam family "Bacterial small subunit ribosomal RNA", at positions 524 to 776 of the family's 1533-position model. The record is from RNAcentral.
UACGGAGGGUGCAAGCGUUAAUCGGAAUUACUGGGCGUAAAGCGCACGCAGGCGGUUUAUUAAGUCAGAUGUGAAAGCCCCGAGCUUAACCUGGGAACUGCAUCUGAUACUGGUUAGCUUGAGUCUUGUAGAGGGGGGUAGAAUUCCAGGUGUAGCGGUGAAAUGCGUAGAGAUGUGGAGGAAUACCGGUGGCGAAGGCGGCCCCCUGGACGAAGACUGACGCUCAGGCGCGAAAGCGUGGGGAGCAAACGGG